This 534-nucleotide ribosomal RNA is filed under the name uncultured bacterium. RNAcentral's name for it is "bacterial SSU rRNA". It matches the Rfam family "Bacterial small subunit ribosomal RNA", at positions 777 to 1320 of the family's 1533-position model. The record is from RNAcentral.
AAUAGAUACCCCGGUAGUCCACGCUGUAAACGAUGCUGACUAGCUCUUGGAGGGUAUCGACCCCCUUUUGGAGCGAAGCUAACGCGUUAAGUCAGCCGCCUGGGGAGUACGAGCGCAAGCUUAAAACUCAAAGGAAUUGACGGGGACCUGCACAAGCGGUGGAGCGCGUGGUUUAAUUCGAUACAAAGCGAAGAACCUUACCAAGGCUUGACAUCUCUGGAACCUCUAAGAAACUAGAGGGUGCCGAAAGGAGCCAGAUGACAGGUGCUGCACGGUUGUCGUCAGCUCGUGCUGUGAAGUGUCCCGUUCAGUCGGUUAACGAGCGCAACCCUUAUCCUGUGUUACAAGUGUCACAGGAAACUGCCCCAGUUAAUGGGGAGGAAGGUGAGGAUGACGUCAAAUCAGCGUGGCUCUUACGCCUUGGGCUACACACACGCUACAAUGGGAAGUAACAAUGGGUCGCCAACUCGCGAGAGGGAGCUAAUCCUAUCAAACCUUCCCCCAAUUCGGAUUAGAGGCUGCAACUCGCCUCUA